GCGGGGUGGAGCAGCCUGGUAGCUCGUCGGGCUCAUAACCCGAAGGUCGUCGGUUCAAAUCCGGCCCCC
Molecule: transfer RNA, 69 nt
Filed under: Escherichia coli
Lineage: Bacteria; Pseudomonadati; Pseudomonadota; Gammaproteobacteria; Enterobacterales; Enterobacteriaceae
Also listed under: 6 other names
Description: tRNA-Met
Rfam family: tRNA
About the family: Transfer RNA (tRNA) molecules are approximately 80 nucleotides in length. Their secondary structure includes four short double-helical elements and three loops (D, anti-codon, and T loops).
Source: RNAcentral